This 376-nucleotide ribosomal RNA is filed under the name uncultured bacterium. RNAcentral describes it as "bacterial SSU rRNA". It matches the Rfam family "Bacterial small subunit ribosomal RNA", at positions 524 to 898 of the family's 1533-position model. The record is from RNAcentral.
UACGUAGGGGGCUAGCGUUGUCCGGAUUUAUUGGGCGUAAAGAGCGUGUAGGCGGCCAGGUAGGUCUGCUGUGAAAACUCGAGGCUCAACCUCGAGACGUCGGCGGAAACCAUCUGGCUAGAGUCCGGAAGAGGAGAGUGGAAUUCCUGGUGUAGCGGUGAAAUGCGCAGAUAUCAGGAAGAACACCCGUGGCGAAGGCGGCUCUCUGGGACGGUACUGACGCUGAGACGCGAAAGCGUGGGGAGCGAACAGGAUUAGAUACCCUGGUAGUCCACGCCGUAAACGAUGGGUGCUAGGUGUGGGCGGUGUCGACUCCGUCCGUGCCGAAGCUAACGCAUUAAGCACCCCGCCUGGGGAGUACGGCCGCAAGGCUAAA